GACGAACGCUGGCGGCGCGCCUCAUACAUGCAAGUCGAACGAAAAACUCGGAGCUUGCUCCGGGUGGACAGUGGCGAACGGGUGAGUAACACGUGAGAAACCUGCCCCGAAGACCGGGACAACACCGGGAAACCGGUGCUAAUACCGGAUGUCCUUACCGGACCGCAUGAUCUGGUAAGGAAAUGGAUUCCGCUUCGGGAUGGUCUCGCGGCCUAUCAGCUUGUUGGCGGGGUAAUGGCCCACCAAGGCUACGACGGGUAGCUGGUCUGAGAGGAUGUCCAGCCACACUGGGACUGAGACACGGCCCAGACUCCUACGGGAGGCAGCAGUAGGGAAUCUUGCACAAUGGACGAAAGUCUGAUGCAGCGACGCCGCGUGUGGGAUGAAGUAUUUCGGUAUGUAAACUCGAAAGAUAGGAAGAAUCAAUGACGGUACUAUUUAUAAGGUCC
RNAcentral lists this ribosomal RNA (449 nucleotides) under uncultured bacterium. RNAcentral describes it as "bacterial SSU rRNA". It matches the Rfam family "Bacterial small subunit ribosomal RNA", at positions 28 to 494 of the family's 1533-position model. The record is from RNAcentral.